UGGGGAAUUUUCCGCAAUGGGCGAAAGCCUGACGGAGCAAUGCCGCGUGGAGGUGGAAGGCCUACGGGUCGUCAACUUCUUUUCUCGGGGAAGAAACAAUGACGGUAUCUGAGGAAUAAGCAUCGGCUAACUCUGUGCCAG
This 141-nucleotide ribosomal RNA is filed under the name uncultured bacterium. RNAcentral describes it as "partial 16S rRNA". It matches the Rfam family "Bacterial small subunit ribosomal RNA", at positions 355 to 511 of the family's 1533-position model. The record is from RNAcentral.